This is a long non-coding RNA of Rhipicephalus microplus (southern cattle tick), 875 nucleotides long. RefSeq lists it as uncharacterized. The record is from RefSeq and is a predicted model, not a curated record. Lineage: Eukaryota; Metazoa; Arthropoda; Arachnida; Ixodida; Ixodidae.
UUUCUUUCUUUUUUUUUUCCCAGUUGCAGAUUGGCAGCUACGCACCAUGCAGCUAGCUUGCUAGAUGGGCGUCACUGUUCUUGGCCGGCGGCUAGCCCGAGUGCGCUGCAGUUUCUCUGUCUGUCAAUAAGUUCACCGAAUCAACGUACAGGAAAAUGCAAGUUUAGGAGUGAACACCGCCUCUUCUUCCCGAGAUUUGUCGCCGGUCACGACACGAAAGACGCCUGCAGGACUUGCGGUGCACGUCCAACAGUGACUGAAUUAGGUGCCACUGCUUGGGGUCCGACAAAGAAAAACUCGAAAGUAACGUAAAGAUUGUACAGGAACAAAGGGCCGUGUUGCAGGCGCGAAGCGGUGGAAUGUCUUCCGUCAGCGACUUGGAAGAGGAAGAUGUGGGGGCAAGAGGCUGUCGGUGGAGCGCAUCUACCAGAAGAUGAGCCAGCUGGAGCACGUUCUGCUGCGCCCGGACACGUACGUCGGCUCCGUCGAGCCCGCCACGCAAAACAUGUGGGUGUACGACCCCGAAGACGACGGCGGUGGCAUGAAGCAUGACAUUGUCACUGCCGAGCAGAUUACAGGGCGCCUUAUCGUGCUAGUGCUGCAAUUUUAAGAUUUUUAACCAGUUUUAUAUGCAUGUUAAACCACAUUUACUUCUCCACAAUGGAGGAAGCGAGAAUAAUCGGGCUGCUUUUUUUUCCUGCGGCGAUUUGAAAUUAGUUCCAGAAAGUUCCUCACAUAGCUAGUGUGCUGGCAACCUCUGCUGCUCCCUAAUAACAGCUUGCAGUUAAAAUCAAGUUAAGUGUUUUACCUUUGACAGUACUGGCGUGCUAUCAGUCGUAAUAAAUUUGCAACGUAUUUAAGGAUUUACCUCUUUA